This 860-nucleotide ribosomal RNA is filed under the name uncultured cyanobacterium. RNAcentral's name for it is "bacterial SSU rRNA". It matches the Rfam family "Bacterial small subunit ribosomal RNA", at positions 669 to 1528 of the family's 1533-position model. Lineage: Bacteria; Bacillati; Cyanobacteriota. The record is from RNAcentral.
CCCAGUGUAGCGGUGAAAUGCGUAGAUAUGGGAAAGAACAUCGGUGGCGAAAGCGUGCUACUGGGCUGAAACUGACACUGAGGGACGAAAGCUAGGGUAGCGAAAGGGAUUAGAUACCCCUGUAGUCCUAGCCGUAAACGAUGGAUACUAGGCGUGGCUUGUAUCGACNCGAGCCGUGCCGAAGCUAACGCGUUAAGUAUCCCGCCUGGGGAGUACGCACGCAAGUGUGAAACUCAAAGGAAUUGACGGGGGCCCGCACAAGCGGUGGAGUAUGUGGUUUAAUUCGAUGCAACGCGAAGAACCUUACCAAGGCUUGACAUCCCUGGAAUCCUGCGGAAACGUGGGAGUGCCUUAGGGAGCCAGGAGACAGGUGGUGCAUGGCUGUCGUCAGCUCGUGUCGUGAGAUGUUGGGUUAAGUCCCGCAACGAGCGCAACCCUCGUUUUUAGUUGCCAUCAUUAAGUUGGGCACUCUAGAGAGACUGCCGGUGACAAACCGGAGGAAGGUGGGGAUGACGUCAAGUCAUCAUGCCCCUUACGCCUUGGGCUACACACGUACUACAAUGGUCGGGACAACGGGCAGCGAGCUCGCGAGAGUAAGCGAAUCCCAUCAAACCCGGCCUCAGUUCAGAUUGCAGGCUGCAACUCGCCUGCAUGAAGGAGGAAUCGCUAGUAAUCGCAGGUCAGAAUACUGCGGUGAAUUCGUUCCCGGGCCUUGUACACACCGCCCGUCACACCAUGGGAGCUGGUCACGCCCGAAGUCGUUACUCUAACCUUAGGGAGGAGGGCGCCGAAGGCAGGGCUAGUGACUGGGGUGAAGUCGUAACAAGGUAGCCGUACCGGAAGGUGUGGCUGGAUCACCU